This 458-nucleotide ribosomal RNA is filed under the name uncultured bacterium. RNAcentral's name for it is "partial 16S ribosomal RNA". It matches the Rfam family "Bacterial small subunit ribosomal RNA", at positions 338 to 795 of the family's 1533-position model. The record is from RNAcentral.
CCUACGGGAGGCUGCAGUGAGGAAUAUUGGUCAAUGGGCGCGAGCCUGAACCAGCCAAGUCGCGUGAGGGAGUACUGCCCUAUGGGUUGUAAACCUCUUUUGUCGGGGAGCAAAAGCCGGAAGUUUCCGCCUGUGAGAGUACCCGAAGAAAAAGCAUCGGCUAACACCGUGCCCGCAGCCGCGGUAAUACGGAGGAUGCCAGCGUUAUCCGGAUUUAUUGGGGUUAAAGGGUGCGCAGGCGGAUUGUUAAGGCAGCGGUAAAAUUGUGGGGCUCAACCCCAUCCAGCCGUUGAAACUGGGGAUCUAGAGUGUGCGAGAGGUAUGCGGAAUGCGUGGUGUAGCGGUGAAAUGCAUAGAUAUCACGCAGAACCCCGAUUGCGAAGGCAGCAUACCGGUGCACAACUGACGCUCAGGCACGAAAGCGUGGGUAUCGAACAGGAUUAGAUACCCGUGUAGUC